AGGAUUAGAUACCUGGUAGUCCACGCCGUAAACGAUGGAUGCUAGUUGUCAGGCAGCAUGCUGUUUGGUGACGCAGCUAACGCAUUAAGCAUCCCGCCUGGGGAGUACGGCCGCAAGGUUAAAACUCAAAGAAAUUGACGGGGGCCCGCACAAGCGGUGGAGCAUGUGGUUUAAUUCGAAGCAACGCGCAGAACCUUACCUACCCUUGACAUACCAAUCGCGGAUUACAGAGAUGUUUUCCUU
This 243-nucleotide ribosomal RNA is filed under the name uncultured bacterium. RNAcentral's name for it is "partial 16S ribosomal RNA". It matches the Rfam family "Bacterial small subunit ribosomal RNA", at positions 774 to 1016 of the family's 1533-position model. The record is from RNAcentral.